UACAGAGGGUGCUAGCGUUGUUCGGAAUCAUUGGGCGUAAAGGGCGUGUAGGCGGUUUGUUAAGUCAUGUGUGAAAUCCCUCGGCUCAACCGGGGAACGACGCAUGAAACUGGCAAGCUAGAGUACCAAAGAGGGGGGUGGAAUUCCCGGUGUAGCGGUGAAAUGCGUAGAUAUCAGGAAGAACACCCGUGGCGAAAGCGGCUCUCUGGAACGGUACUGACGCUGAGACGCGAAAGCGUGGGGAGCGAACAGG
Molecule: ribosomal RNA, 253 nt
Filed under: uncultured bacterium
Lineage: Bacteria
Description: partial 16S ribosomal RNA
Rfam family: Bacterial small subunit ribosomal RNA
Source: RNAcentral